This 619-nucleotide ribosomal RNA is filed under the name Blastocystis sp. Its description in RNAcentral is "SSU rRNA". It matches the Rfam family "Eukaryotic small subunit ribosomal RNA", at positions 1 to 629 of the family's 1831-position model. The record is from RNAcentral. Lineage: Eukaryota; Bigyra; Opalinata; Blastocystidae.
AUCUGGUUUUGUCCUGCCAGUAGUCAUACGCUCGUCUCAAAGAUUAAGCCAUGCAUGUGUAAGUAUAAAUAAUUUUACUUUGAAACUGCGAAUGGCUCAUUAUAUCAGUUAUAGUUUAUUAGAAAUAUUUUACUACUUGGAUAACCGUAGUAAUUCUAGGGCUAAUACAUGAGUAAAACCUCAACUUCGGAAGAGGUGUGUUUAUUAGUAUGAAAACCAUAUAUCUUCGGAUAUAAUAGUGAGUAAUAAUAACCUUUCAUAUCGUAUGUCGUAAGAUAACGAUAGUUCUUUCAAGUUUCUGCCCUAUCAGCUUUCGAUGGUAGUAUAUGGGACUACCAUGGCAGUAACGGGUAACGAAGAAUUUGGGUUCGAUUUCGGAGAGGGAGCCUGAGAGAUGGCUACCACAUCCAAGGAAGGCAGCAGGCGCGUAAAUUACCCAAUCCUGACAUAGGGAGGUAGUGACAAUAAAUCACAAUGCGGAACUUUUAGUUUUGCAAUUGGAUUGAGAACAAUGUACAAAUGUUAUCGAUAAACAAUUGGAGGGCAAGUCUGGUGCCAGCAGCCGCGGUAAUUCCAGCUCCAAUAGCGUAUAUUAACGUUGUUGCAGAAAAAAAAGCUC